CAGACCUCUAAUCGGAAAAGACUACUCGCUGAGUUUAAGCAUAUCACUAAGCGAAGGAGAAGAAACUAACCAGG
RNAcentral lists this ribosomal RNA (74 nucleotides) under Plagiothecium argentatum. RNAcentral describes it as "partial 26S ribosomal RNA". It matches the Rfam family "Eukaryotic large subunit ribosomal RNA", at positions 1 to 73 of the family's 3401-position model. Lineage: Eukaryota; Viridiplantae; Streptophyta; Bryopsida; Hypnales; Plagiotheciaceae. The record is from RNAcentral.